Molecule: small nuclear RNA, 111 nt
Filed under: Choloepus hoffmanni (Hoffmann's two-fingered sloth)
Lineage: Eukaryota; Metazoa; Chordata; Mammalia; Pilosa; Megalonychidae
Source: RNAcentral
GUGCUCACUUCAGGAGUACAUAUAUUAAAAUUGGGACAAUACAGAGAUGAAUAAGAAUAGCCUGUCUCCUUCUCAAAGAAGAUGUAAAUUUGUGAAGAUUCCUAUAUAUAU